Molecule: ribosomal RNA, 440 nt
Filed under: uncultured bacterium
Lineage: Bacteria
Description: partial 16S ribosomal RNA
Rfam family: Bacterial small subunit ribosomal RNA
Source: RNAcentral
CCUACGGGUGGCUGCAGUGGGGGAUAUUGCACAAUGGGGGAAACCCUGAUGCAGCGACGCCGCGUGUGGGAAGACGGUCCUCUGGAUUGUAAACCACUGUCCCCAGGGACGAAAAUGCCGGUACCUGGGGAGGAAGCUCCGGCUAACUACGUGCCAGCAGCCGCGGUAAUACGUAGGGAGCGCGCGUUGUCCGGAAUUACUGGGUUUAAAGGGAGCGUAGGCGGGGAUGCAAGUUGGGUGUAAAAACUACCGGCUCAACUGGUAGUCGCACUCAAAACUGCAUCUCUUGAGUGAAGUAGAGGCAGGCGGAAUGCCUAGUGUAGCGGUGAAAUGCGUAGAUAUUAGGCGGAACUCCAGUCGCGAAGGCGGCCUGCUGGGCUUUUACUGACGCUGAGGCUCGAAAGUGUGGGGAGCAAACAGGAUUAGAUACCCGGGUAGUC